RNAcentral lists this ribosomal RNA (550 nucleotides) under uncultured bacterium. RNAcentral describes it as "partial 16S ribosomal RNA". It matches the Rfam family "Bacterial small subunit ribosomal RNA", at positions 355 to 893 of the family's 1533-position model. The record is from RNAcentral.
UGGGGAAUUUUGGACAAUGGGCGAAAGCCUGAUCCAGCAAUGCCGCGUGUGUGAAGAAGGCCUUCGGGUUGUAAAGCACUUUUGUCCGGAAAGAAAUCCUUGGCUCUAAUACAGUCGGGGGAUGACGGUACCGGAAGAAUAAGCACCGGCUAACUACGUGCCAGCAGCCGCGGUAAUACGUAGGGUGCAAGCGUUAAUCGGAAUUACUGGGCGUAAAGCGUGCGCAGGCGGUUUGCUAAGACCGAUGUGAAAUCCCCGGGCUCAACCUGGGAACUGCAUUGGUGACUGGCAGGCUAGAGUAUGGCAGAGGGGGGUAGAAUUCCACGUGUAGCAGUGAAAUGCGUAGAGAUGUGGAGGAAUACCGAUGGCGAAGGCGACGCCCCUGGGCCAAUACUGACGCUCAUGCACGAAAGCGUGGGGAGCAAACAGGAUUAGAUACCCCUGGUAGUCCACGCCCUAAACGAUGUCAACUAGUUGUUGGGGGAUUCAUUUUCCUUAGUAACGUAGCUAACGCGUGAAGUUGACCGCCUGGGGGAGUACGGUCGCAAGA